CCCUUAGAUGUUCUGGGCCGCACGCGCGCUACACUGACUGCUCCAACAAGUUACCUGGGCUGACAAGCAUCCGGGAAAUCUUGCAAAGGCAGUCGUGAUGGGGAUAGAUUCUUGUAAUUUUUGAUCCUCAACGAGGAAUUCCUAGUAAACGCAAGUCAUCAGCUUGCAUUGAUUACGUCCCUGCCCUUUGUACACACCGCCCGUCGCAUCUACCGAUUGAAUGGAGAGGCAAAAUCUUCGGACCGUGACGCUUGGGAGUCAAAUCUCGGGCUGUCGUGGGAAGUGGAUUAAACCUUUCUAUUUAGAGGAAGGUAAAGUCGUAACA
Molecule: ribosomal RNA, 325 nt
Filed under: uncultured eukaryote
Lineage: Eukaryota
Description: partial 18S ribosomal RNA
Rfam family: Eukaryotic small subunit ribosomal RNA
Source: RNAcentral